Molecule: ribosomal RNA, 325 nt
Filed under: Corythion sp.
Lineage: Eukaryota; Cercozoa; Imbricatea; Euglyphida; Trinematidae
Description: SSU rRNA
Rfam family: Eukaryotic small subunit ribosomal RNA (bases 110-325)
Source: RNAcentral
GAUUUCUGGCAAACCGGGGCGGCCCGUGCUCUUAAUGGGUGCUGUGUGCCGUGUCGUGUUUGUCAUCCUUCCAGAGAGCUGCGUCUACCGUUUACUCGGCCGGACGUAUGCGAUCUGGAUCUAUUACUUUGAAAAAAUUAGAGUGUUUAAAGCAGGCUUAUGCUAUGAAUACAUUAGCAUGGAAUAAUAAUUUAGGACUUUGGUUCUAUUUUGUUGGUUUCUAGGACUGAAGUAAUGAUUGAUAGGGAUAGUUGGGGGUGCUAGUAUUCCGCGGCCAGAGGUGAAAUUCUUGGAUUCGUGGAAGACUAACUACUGCGAAAGCAUU